This is a long non-coding RNA of Betta splendens (Siamese fighting fish), 3668 nucleotides long. RefSeq lists it as uncharacterized. The transcript has 3 exons. The record is from RefSeq and is a predicted model, not a curated record. NCBI's taxonomy places the organism in Eukaryota, Metazoa, Chordata, Actinopteri, Anabantiformes, Osphronemidae.
UUGGAAUCGCGUUACAGGCGCUCACGCUCACAGGGAAAUCCACCGUGUGAAUGCGUCUCCUGUGUGAUGCGUUUGUAACAGCACCAUAUUUAACGUCUUAAUUGAGGGCAGAAUUAUGCAAAUGAGGGGAUUUUAUUCUAUUUCCCCGUGAGGGAGUUUUUUUAAUCUCAUUUAGAGAUGUUUACAGAGUUUUCAAGGUUUUUCCCAAAGAAAGACAUCUCCACCUAUUGUACAUGUGCUGAGAAAAAAGUUAAUUGAAUUAAAGUGGGACUCUGGACAAAAUCUGCUUAGUCAUAAUGAUGUGUUACUGACACUGAUAUGUGGAUGUGUCACUCAGUGCCGGUGCUUUCAGUGUUUGAUGGAGCUUAUGAGCGUUUCUGUGUUGAUGUUCUCGCUCUCGUCAGCUGGACUCUGCACAGCGGCGUCCUCCUGUUCACACAUGGUGUCUGCUCCAUUCUUCGUCCGUCCUUUCUCACACUUGCAGCCGUCACACACCGUGUCCCAGGCGUUGAUAUUUCAGCGCUGAACAUCAUCACAUGUUCACCAUUUGGAGCAGUGUUUGCUUUGGACCUCAGCUCACGGCAGACGCUGCAUAAACUGUCAGAAACUACUGAAUCCUGUUCACCAGAGCUUUUUCCUUCUGAGCACAUUUUGUCAUUAUUAGUUUAUUUUAGGUUACUCUUUAAUUGAGUGUUGUGACAAUAAAUCCCAAGUUUAUUUAUUUAUCUUGUUGCUAUGAUGAAUGUGCAGUUGCAUGUUUUAACCACUGGAGGUCGCUGUAAUCCACGCCUUUCGUUUCAUUAACGUCCCCAGUGAUUAACAAUGACAGUUAGAGGUUUCCAGCAUGUUAAACGCACUCGACUUGUUCAGGCUACGCUCACACGCAAAUCAGCAAAGUGUCAGAAACAAAACUACAGAGUCUGAUCGGUGCUCGACAACCGGACAAAUCCCACGGUUGACAAGCGGCAUCCUGUGUAGCAGGUGCAGUUUGAACAAAGCUGAAGACCUGCUGACCUGAACCUGUUCCGUCCACCCUGUAGCGACGCCUAGCGUGGUGCAGGUCCGCGUAGCUGAGCAGAACCCUCCGGUUCCACCUGGAGGGAACCAGGCUACUCUCUACACUCAUGUGAUGCCAUGGCUUGUUGCCAGCGCUAAUUUCCUGUCGGCCUCACAUCUCCUCUGCCACCAAUCACUGUCCUAUGAGCAGCGCCAGCUGUUGUCAGAGGAUGUUUUCCUGGAGGGUGAUGGAUUAAAAGAAACCUUCAUAAACUUUUCCUUCUCUCAUCUUGAAGCAGCUCAAUAAAAGCUCCAUGCAGCUACUGUGGACGUGUUUUAGUGGAGAGAGGUCCAGACUCUGUGUCAGGCUCAUCUUUGUAUGAUUUAAACUUUGUUGGCUGAAACCAACAUGAUCAUGACGUUUUCAAAAGGAAAAUGAAUCUCAUAUAAAACGGUGCAAAUGUUGUUUUUCUGUUGGUUUUGGCUGUGAACUCGCUCAAUGACCACUCAGGGACUGUUGGUGGUCCCUCCAACCGCAACACGAGCAGCUCACACGUCACUCGGAGACUGAUAAAAACACGACAGACGUUCAGGCUGUUGAGAAGCGAAUAGAACCUAAGUGUAAACUAGACUUAAGAUUUACGUUGAAACACUGACGCUAGAUUGUAGAGAUAAAUGGACGUCACAUUUAAAGCUGCGUUUUCUGAGCGUCGGCCCAUAAAUGAGAAUAAGGGAGACUAGCAGCUUAAAGUUCAUGUUCAGCUUCAGCAGUGGUGUUCUAUUAACGAGCCCAUUCACAUUCAUCAGCAGACUUGUGUUGCGACCACGACUCGCUGUAAAACUCGCUGUUAUUUAAUAUCUCACCCAGAAAUGUUUCCACAGUUGAAAUGAACGAGCGCAUCGAGAGCUGCGGACUUGUUCUCUCUCUCUGUAUUAGAGUUUGGUAGCAGCCAGUUUAAAGUCUGUCAUCCAGGCCCGGCGUCGCUCUCGGCUGCGGCUCCGUCCUGAGGACAGCAUGUGUGAAGAGACAUUAGGAAUGAGCAGCUUCUGUCAGUUGCUGCCACACUGAGCGCCUAAUGAGCAGAAAUAGCUCUCCUGCUAUUUUCUCCGCGUCUCAGCCCAUUUUAUCGAUACGCAGCGGAGUGAGGCGGCACGUCGCUAUGGCAACAGCAGGCAAGGACGAUGAGCAGGGGUGUCUGUGGGCAGGAGAGAGGCCUCCCCUGAGUAACGGGGCGCGUGUGUGUUUGCAUUAGGAAUCCUGAUGUCAGAGCUCAGUUCCGCCUUUAGCUGCAUAUGAAUGCAGAAAAUAGAGACAGCACAGUUUAAUGGUUUGCUAAAUGUCUUUCACAGCUAAUUUUAUGUGUUUUCUUAGUGACUGACUUUCUAACUGGUUUUCUGUUUUGCUGUUUGGUCUCUGAUGGAGGAACAGUCCGCCUCAGGCUACUGAGCCCCCUGCAUUUGAACCCAUCACAUCAGAGAGAGAAGACAGAGGACAGAAUCAGCUGAUGUCAAGUGAAGAGUGAAAAUGUCUUGAAUGCUCGACUUGAAGGGCCGGAAUAAACGUUGUUGCUGUCUGAAUGAAAUGGUCGCACUGGUUGACCAGUCCGACUGGUCCUCAUUCGUCCAGAGCCGCCGCAGUGCGUUGCUCAGGCUCUAAUCACAGUGUGGUUUAGAAGCAGAGCCCUGGGUGGAGGUGCAGUCGCGCCUCACAGCUGCUGGGAUGAUCUAUCUAUCAGGGAGCCUCUGCAUAUGAUGAGCUUGUUCUGAAAGACGCGGGUCCCAUUUGAUUUUAGAGAAGGUUUUGAACCUGAAGAAGCUCCUGGUUGUGGAAUGGGAGUAAAGUCAGGAUUUUUAAGGCGUUGCCGUGGGAGACGUCAGAGAUUUAUUUUGUGUGAUACGAGGACGGCAGCAAACGGUACAGAAGUUACCUCAGCUUGAAAGUCAAAGAAAGACUGGAACAUUCUUUACUCUGGAAUCGAGCAGUCGCUGCCAAGUUCGGUCCUUUCCAUCGACCGAUCGUGUCUGAGGAGCAGAGCCGAUUGAAGGCAGCUAUGAAAGCAUUGGACGGCUUCCAGUUUACGGUGAGGGCUGUGGGCAGCGCUGGGACCCGGCCAGCAGCCGCCUGGGCCCGGCUCCAGAAUCAGGUCCAAACCUGCUUCAGUCCAAACGGAGACCCCCCGCUGAGCGCAGCCCUCAUUGAACUCCUGAAAUGGAGAGAUCCCGUAAUUUAAUGACGCGUUUCCUGAAGAUGACGCUCUGAAUGCUGUAAUGCUGAACCUCUGUGAAUGAACCGACCCGUUGUUGGUGCUGGACCAACCCGGACCUCAGAGAUGCAUCUGAGCUGCUGCAGCCUUCAGACCUCCGUUGGUUGAUGGUGCGAGCCGAAGGCCGGAAUGGAAAGAACUCAACGGAUGAAGCGCUCAUCGCUCUCAGCGGCCACAAACAUGCUGACGUGUGUGUGUGUGUGUGUGUGUGUGUGUGUGUGUGUGUGUGUGUGUGUGUGUGUGUGUGUGUGUGUGUGUGUGUGUGUGUGUGUGUGUGUGUGAGACUUGCUGGAGUGUGUAAGUGUGUGUGUGGAGGGAAGGCGCUGGCAGCGAUGCUGAUGUGAUCUGACAGGACUUAGGCUCGUAGGUGCUGGAGGCCACUGCAGCUCCCAGUGCAGACCAGCUCCA